This 1414-nucleotide long non-coding RNA is filed under the name Homo sapiens (human). Its description in RNAcentral is "HSALNT0045369". Lineage: Eukaryota; Metazoa; Chordata; Mammalia; Primates; Hominidae. The record is from RNAcentral.
GGUUUUAUAAAAGGCAGUUCCCCUGCACACGUUCUCUUGCCUGCUGCCUUGUAAGACGUGCCUUUGCUCCUCCUUCACCUUCUACCAUGAUUGUGAGGCUUCUCCAGCCAUGUGGAACUGUGAUUCAUAAAUUACCCAGUCUCAGCCUGAGGACAGGUCGAGGACAAGCCUGACAUUCCAUCGAGACCCGUAGGAACUGGCCAAAGCCCAGCACCCAAGAGGAAACAUGGCUGGAAGAAGAGAUUGUGACAGGUCCAGGGAUGGCCAGGGACUCAGAUGCCUGUAUUCUUGCUCUACCAUUCCCAGCAUAAGAUGCUCCUGCAGCGAUUAUCACAUCUAUUCUGGACCUAGCUUCAAGGGAUGCCAGGAAAUGCAGUCUUUAAGUGCCUAUGUGUUUAGCUAAAAAUUAAGAAAGAAAAAGAUACAGAUAGAUAUUACAGAACAAUUUGUUUCUGCUACAUUGGGCAUGUGAUUUCUAGUAAUGUGUCCAUUGAAAUACAAUUAUGAAAAAGGUGUUGGUCCCUGUUCCUCCACUGUCAUCAUAACAUUAUGCAAAUACAUUUCUAUGUAUGUACCUAUUUCUAUGUAAUGUGCAUUUCUGUAGGUAUCUAAUGACAUCCGGAAAAAAUCUAAUGAAUUUUGAAGUACUUGAAUCUUUUCUAAAAUUUCUGAUAUCUGAGCCCAUUUUAUGAUUAUAAAAUGCAUUUUAUCUACUUUUGCUUCAUUGUUUAAUGUAAAUGAAAUAAUACAGAAAUAAAAUAUUUGGUUCACUUUAUGAGAGGUACAGCAUGAACAACCAAUUAAAAGUAGUUUCCAGGGAUCCUUUGCCAAGAAACAAACAAGUAAAAAUGAUCUCUAAGUAAAGAAAGGGAAUACUUGAAAGUCUUCUUUUUUUUUUUUUUUUUUUUUUGAGAUGGAAUCUCACUGUGUCACCCAGGCUGGAGUGCAAUGGUAUGAUCUCAGCUCACUGGUUCACUGCAACCUCCACCUCCCAGUUUAAAUGAUUCUCAUGCCUCAGCCUCCCAAGUAGCUGGGAUUAGAGGUGCCUGCCACCACACCUGACUCAUUUCUGUAUUUUGGUAGCGAUGGGGUUUCACCAUGUCGACCAGGCUGGUCUCGAACUCCUGACUUGAAGUGAUCCACCCACCUCAGCCUCCCAAAGUGCUGGAAUUACAGGAGUGAGCCAGCAUGCCCAGCUGAAAGUCUUCUUCAUUAAUACCUUUUAUCUCGAUAUCAUUUCAUGAGUUUAAAAUUUCAUCAUUAGCAGUUUAUUAAUUCUGAAAAAAGAAGCCUCUGAGGUACAUAUGGAAGAAAUUAUUAAGAUAUCUUACAGUUGAUGAAACUAAGACUGAGAGGUAAAUUAUUUACAUAUAUUACAUAACUAAUUGAGGAUAACUGUGGGUCUAGAACCGAG